CCGCCACCACCAUCUCCUUCUCUUCCCUGAACCCGCGCCAUCUCCUUUCCUCACCCAUAAUCACGCACCACCAUCUCUCUCUCUCUCUCUCUCUCUCCCUCCCUCCCUGAUCACGCAGGAGUUGUCAACGAGACAUGGAAGUUUGGCGAAGGUGGUAGUUGGGUCGAUCUGUGGUGGGGGUUCUUCCUAGAGAAUUCAGCGACAAGUUUGGUUUAAAAAUAACCUAUUAAACCUGCUACCAUAGGUCAAAAG
RNAcentral lists this long non-coding RNA (252 nucleotides) under Lotus japonicus. Its description in RNAcentral is "long non-coding RNA (LJAP_LNC000485)". The record is from RNAcentral. Lineage: Eukaryota; Viridiplantae; Streptophyta; Magnoliopsida; Fabales; Fabaceae.